CACGCCGUAAACGAUGUCGAUUUGGAGGCUGUGUCCUUGAGACGUGGCUUCCGGAGCUAACGCGUUAAAUCGACCGCCUGGGGAGUACGGCCGCAAGGUUAAAACUCAAAUGAAUUGACGGGGGCCCGCACAAGCGGUGGAGCAUGUGGUUUAAUUCGAUGCAACGCGAAGAACCUUACCUGGCCUUGACAUGUCUGGGAUCCUGUAGAGAUACGGGAGUGCCUUCGGGAAUCAGAACACAGGUGC
RNAcentral lists this ribosomal RNA (246 nucleotides) under uncultured bacterium. RNAcentral describes it as "partial 16S ribosomal RNA". It matches the Rfam family "Bacterial small subunit ribosomal RNA", at positions 796 to 1041 of the family's 1533-position model. The record is from RNAcentral.